Molecule: long non-coding RNA, 250 nt
Filed under: Nicotiana benthamiana
Lineage: Eukaryota; Viridiplantae; Streptophyta; Magnoliopsida; Solanales; Solanaceae
Description: long non-coding RNA (NBEN_LNC002486)
Source: RNAcentral
UGAUCUUCAGACUGUCGACUCUGUAUUGCUUGUUCCUUCAGUUCGUUUGUAUUCAAACGACACGAUUUUACAUCAUGACCUUGGUGAUUACACACGUGCAGUAUUUAGGAAGAUUAUCAAAGACUAUCCGCUGGUCGUAUUCGAUUAUUUUCCCAAAUUUGGUAUCGACAAUCUUGAUCUUGACUUUCUGAGGAUGUUUGUCGAGCAAGUUAAUCAAGACUUUUACCCUUGCCGUACUAGGUCUCGUGCG